AUACUUACCUAGCAGGGAGAUACCAUGAUCAUGGAGGUGGUUUUCCCUGGGUGAGGCUUAUCCAUUGCACUCCAGAUGUGCUGACACCUGCAAUUUCCCCAAAUGUGGGAAACUCAACUGUGUAAAGUAAC
Tupaia belangeri (northern tree shrew) is the source of this 131-nucleotide small nuclear RNA. Its record names the gene U1. It matches the Rfam family "U1 spliceosomal RNA". Rfam says of the family: U1 is a small nuclear RNA (snRNA) component of the spliceosome (involved in pre-mRNA splicing). Lineage: Eukaryota; Metazoa; Chordata; Mammalia; Scandentia; Tupaiidae. The record is from Ensembl.